UACGAAGGGGGCUAGCGUUGUUCGGAAUUACUGGGCGUAAAGCGCACGUAGGCGGGUCCUUAGGGCAGGGGUGAAAUCCUGGAGCUCAACUCCAGAACUGCCUUUGAUACUGAGGAACUCGAGUUCGGGAGAGGUGAGUGGAACUGCGAGUGUAGAGGUGAAAUUCGUAGAUAUUCGCAAGAACACCAGUGGCGAAGGCGGCUCACUGGCCCGAUACUGACUCUGAGGUGCGAAAGCGUGGGGAGCAAACAGG
RNAcentral lists this ribosomal RNA (253 nucleotides) under uncultured bacterium. Its description in RNAcentral is "partial 16S ribosomal RNA". It matches the Rfam family "Bacterial small subunit ribosomal RNA", at positions 524 to 776 of the family's 1533-position model. The record is from RNAcentral.